Molecule: long non-coding RNA, 2539 nt
Organism: Brachypodium distachyon (stiff brome)
Lineage: Eukaryota; Viridiplantae; Streptophyta; Magnoliopsida; Poales; Poaceae
Exons: 5
Source: RefSeq, a predicted model, not a curated record
AGACACGCCGGAUAGGGCGGAAUAUGAGACGCGAGUUCGACUCGCGUUUCUUCCUCGCCUCUGCGUCGCUACGGCGCCGCCGCCCGCCUCUAGGUAACCAUCGCCCGCCUCCGCGCCGCGGUAGCCUACCUCCGAGGCCGUUGUAGCCCGCUCCCCGCUGCCGCCGCUUGCAGCCUCCGCGCCGUAUCCGCCCGCCACCGGUCGCCCGCGACCUCCGCUGCCUUCUGCAGCAGCAGUGACCUCGCCGCCAGUCGCACCACCGGGGUACGAGCCCACGCAGAGCUGAUGACUCCGCUGCCGUCGCUCUGGCUGCCGUUGACUUCUCCGGCCGGACGCAAGCUAGCUUUCUUUCCUUCCUCCUGUCCUUUCUCUCAUCCUCAACAGGCCAAUUUUGGGACACUGUGUUUCUUGUUGUUAGUUAUCACACAAGAUACUUUUCUUGCAAAUUUUAGUAACAAUCGAUGUGUUACUGUUGGAUUUCCUACAAGAAAUUUUCAUUAGAUUGAUUCACAGAAGCUAUAUGCCGACAUGUUGUUGGAUUUUGAUAAUCUUAGUUUAUCACAACAAAUUUUAGUUGAUAAAUUGUUGCCAUCACACAAGAUACUGACCUGAUCUUCUUCUCUAAAGAUGUCAUGAAAUGUGGUGGCAGCCUGGAUUUUUAUUUUUGGGUUGGGAAAUUAGUUAAGUGACUGUAAUUUGGAAUUUUGCAUCAUUAAUUGCUACCUUGUUGUGCAGCAUAAGCGUGUGAUGGCAUCCUGGAAAGCAAUUUCUAAUGCUUCAUACAUAGCCUGAGCAAGUUGGCAAAAUAACCUGUGUAUUGAAAAUGUAUCGCCAUCACUGACACUACUUCUAUCUGUAGCUAAUGCUUAUAUGAAGGUUAGCAUACAUGGUCUGGACAUUAACAUUUUUCCUUCCAAAGUGAUGCAGGUUAAGUGCAUCUCUAUGUAGUUAAUGCAUAUAUGAAGCUUCAUCUUUUUUUCCUUUCUAAUAUGUAGACUGUAGCUGCAUAUAUCCUCAUGCAUAUAUGCAUUGUUAUUCUCUGAUUGUUUGUUCCUUCUUUCUACCUAAAAUGACACACAUGUGUAGCCUGAUUAUAUGCUUUCUGCUUCAAUAUAUGCAACUUCUUGGAUUAACUUAAACAGUAGUGGAUAGCUAAUUUAAAGCUUGUUCUUCUAACAUUUUUCUUCUAAAGAGCCACACGAAAUACCACCAAUCAAGUACAGAUGUCUUGUUAUUUAGUUGGUCGUUUGUUUGCGUGGCUCCUGUGGAAAAGUGUACCUGCGUUAUGUUCUCAUGAUUUUGAUUGCUUCAGAUUUUUUUUAGAUGAAAUUGGUAACCAAUUACUACACAAGCAUGUAUGCUGCAGUUUACAGAAUAACAUAUGAAUUUCAAGGACAAAUAUUUCUAGUUAAUAACUGACAUGUGUCCAUUUAUCAGUUAUGAUCAGUAGCAGCACAAAAUUGAACUUUACUCAUGCUUACCAAUUCUUGAUAUUGACAAGCUUAUGGUCCUCUACAACUUCGCAAUGUUAACUCCAAGAAUGACAAGGUGUGCUAGAAGAGGAAGACUGGAAUCAAUCUAUUGUUGAUCGUUUAAUUUGGUAUUAUUGCCAAGUAGUUGAUUUUUCAUGGAAGUACCUGAAUAAGCACAAUGAUCAAAACCUGAGAUGUUCUUGUUUUAUUUCAUUCUGUCAUGCUGUUUUUGCUAGAUGAGAUGUAAAAAUCUGAGUUUUAUUGCCUUCCAUUGUGGCCAGAUACUUCUGAAAUACAAGGCGUUAGAUACUGCCCAUGACCAAUGGACAUAUGCCGUUAGUUCUAUUCCCACUUGAAGAAAAGAAUAGCUUGAAUAAAUUUUUCGUAAAAUGCUCUGGUGCAAGAUUUCUUCUUUGUUCGUGAGCAAACUCGGCGUGGGGAGUGAUGAAGGAGCAGGCAGCUUCUGCCUUCCGGAGUCAGCUGGUCAUUCUGUUUGCGAAGCUAGGCCACGAGCAUCAGGACAUACUUCCAUCUACUCGUCAUCACAUUGCCUGGGCUUUGCAUUCAAUUUGGCAGGAUUUAUUGUUGCAGCUAAUCAAAAGAUUCAUGAGGACCUAGACAGGGUGAAGUGCUUCGAUGCUGAAGGAGCCCUCAAAUACGGAAUUAUUGACCGUAUUGUUUUGCCUUCUCAGAUCAAGAAAGAGGAAUACGCUGGUCAAAAGAAGCAUCAAUGGGAUAUGAGACUUGACUAAGAUGCUAUUGUACGGAGACGACAGUUACAUCUCCAGGCACUGUUAUGCAGCUCCAGAAAGCGUGGCUAGGCUCGGAGGUCUGGUCGGUAACAGGAGGCCAUGAACUCCGCGAGCUCAUGGAGGGUCUAGCGCAGCAAACAGACACACAUUUCAGUCAUUAUGUGACCAUAAAUUAGCUACUUUCAACUAAAUUACAUAAAUAACCUUCCCAAGUCCCAAUUUCAGUACAGAAAAAAUGUACCUAACUGCUACUUAAGCUAAUUGCUUGCUUGUAUCUGAAUGUUUAAAUAAUUCUCAUUACUAGUUUUGAGCUGA